This is a long non-coding RNA of Drosophila pseudoobscura, 1064 nucleotides long. RefSeq lists it as uncharacterized. The transcript has 2 exons. Lineage: Eukaryota; Metazoa; Arthropoda; Insecta; Diptera; Drosophilidae. The record is from RefSeq and is a predicted model, not a curated record.
AGUGGAGUCGACCUUCUGUUUGUCGCAAGACAAACUGUCUUUCAGAAAUUUAAUUUCAUUUAAUUUAGAUGCUAUAACCAAACUCAAUAUUUAACACCUCAUAUUUGGGAAUGAAAGGUUAUCCAUUUUCUUUUUUUUUGAUAUGGGUUUUAUUUCAAUUUAGACGGAGAGAGGAGAGCGCGCUCUGCAAGUACCUGGUAUCUCUUGGAGCAGGAACUUGUUUUCUUUAUUCUGAAAUUUUUGUACUAAUUAUCCGGUGCCGAAGUGGGCCGAAGACAUGGUAAACAUUUAAAAAACCACAUACAUAUGUACGUACAUAUGUAUGUAUACUGCGUGGGCAUCACACAAGUAUGUACAUACAUACAUUCACACAAACCAUAACAAUUUGGUGCUUUAGCUAUAAUAUUCAUACACGGACAUGUUUGGUUAUUUAUUGGUGAUGGUCAAGAAUGUAUGGGGAUGGGGUCAGGUGCUAUAUGUAAUUUGGUUUCUCAGCAGGAGUUCACGAUUUGUUUACAUUUCACUUAAUAAAUUCACCUAACAGGAAUGAAUAUAUGGGAAUAUAAUAUACGAGUAUCUACAUACAUAUGUACAUACAUAUGUAUUCGAAAAGUCGCACACGAACCAAAAGCAUAUGCAUGAGAGGAAACCAAACCCGUUGGAUGUACAUACAUAUGUACACAUGUAAAUAGGUUGGUGGAAUCUGCCACUGAAUACAUACAUGACAAAGCAUUUUGCGACUUUAAAAAGUUAUACACGUCCAUUGCAACAUGACAAGUAAUUUGGAUACAACUUAUACCCAAAACUCAUACCGAAAUUUUAAAUAUCUUAACUACCUAUGAACAUACUAUGCACUCAAGCUUUCACUCACACAUAUGUAUAUUUAUGUAAGUAAGAUUACUUACAGACUUUAGCAUUUACAAACUUGCAUGAAUUAAAUCGUGGCUUCAAAAUAUGGAUCACGUUCUAAAUGACAACGUGAGAAAUGCACAUUUAUACAUCGAGGUCCGGAUCGACGCGAUUCUGUAGAUAAAACAUGAGCUGGUAUGUUAAUUGCAGUUAAA